UACAGAGGGGGCAAGCGUUGUUCGGAAUUACUGGGCGUAAAGGGCGCGUAGGCGGCCUGUUAAGUCGAACGUGAAAUCCCUGGGCUCAACCCAGGAACUGCGUCCGAUACUGGCAGGCUUGAAUUCGGGAGAGGGAUGCGGAAUUCCAGGUGUAGCGGUGAAAUGCGUAGAUAUUGCUCGGAAGGCCAGAGCCGAAGGGGCCCCAUUGGUACGUAACUGACGCUGAGGCACGAAAGCGUGGGGAGCAAACAGG
Molecule: ribosomal RNA, 253 nt
Filed under: uncultured bacterium
Lineage: Bacteria
Description: partial 16S ribosomal RNA
Rfam family: Bacterial small subunit ribosomal RNA
Source: RNAcentral